GUGGGUUUGUGUUUCAUCUGAUUCUUCAUUGGCAGUGCCCGUUCCUUCAGCUCUCUUUCUUUAUCUCCUUUAUCAGACUUUGCCUGCUUGAAUUACACUCUUUUAGAAUAUGUAUUUGUUUUCCUAAGAAAUCUGUAAAAGUGAUCAAUGGGUGUUACCCUCUUCCAACAUAUGAUUGCCUUUAGCAGUAUCCUCUGGAGAAAAUUUUACUGAAGGAACUUGUACACGAUGUUUAUUGGAUGUCAGGCACUUCCCGAAUCCUCGAAGUUACCAGUAUUGAAGAUCUCUGUGUAGGAGAGCAAAGAGAAAAUUAUUCACAAGGAAAACCCUAAAGCUGCAUAUACAUUGUUUAUAUGUAUAUAAAGCACAUCUUUAUGCAGGUUCAUCAUUACCAUUUAGGGAAUAUGGAAGUGUCAGAUGUGAAAACAUGUUUGACCUAAAAUGGGCAUGUCUGUUCUGGCCCACGUCUUGACUGAAAAGUAUGUAUUCUGCCCACUGCUGUCUCAGAAGAGCAAUCACAUGCCUUCAGAAAAAUAAGACUGAGGUGCUGAAGCAACCUCAGGAAUAAAUCAAGCAUUAAAGUGAGCUACAGAGGAAAUGCAUACCCUUGAAAUAAAUGAUACUUUUACACUUUUCUGGUUUGUUCAACCAUCUUUCUGUGAUACGGACUGACCCGGAAACCAUUAUCUAAAAUUUACCCACACAAUGGAAAUAUGUAAGGAAGAAUAAGAGCUAACAUUUGCAAAGCACUGGCUAUGUGCUGGCACUGUUCUGAGUAAAUUGCACAUAUUAACUCAGGUAAUCCUGACAAAUACAUGAAGGAGAUAUAAUAGUAUCCUCAUGUUUCCUGAUGGGAAAAUAGGCAUAAAUAAAAACACUGUUCUGUGCCACACAAGUAUAAAGUGAUAAAUUAUACCAGCCAAUCUGAUUUGAGACUCCAUGCUCCUUAACACUAUGCCAAACUGCUCUGUCUCAUAGAAAGUACAGCAUAAUAGAUCUAAAUACAGAUCAAAAUUCAAUUCAACAAUAUAAUACUUCCCACAAUAGUGUGUACUUGGAUGGUAUAUAGGCUCCAAGACAGCAUUAGCUGCACAUUUAGAGGAUGCGAUUUCCCUUUGUUUUACUGUGGACUGAAGUAAUCAGGGGGAGAUUCUUAGGAAGAGAAUAAUGAAGUUGAAAGAAGUGGAUGAGAGAGAAUAAAAACUUCCAGGUGGGAGGGAAGGCAUGAUCCAACUUCAAGAGGUAAAAAUGCAAAAGCUUUAUUAUAAAAAAGUGGUACAAGACUGACCAGUGUGCCCAGAGCAGCAGGUUCAAGUAGAGAAAAGUCAGUAUAUUUGGAAAGGUUGCUUAAAUCUAGAUAAUACAUGGAUGUGACUAUCAGGGAAAUAAUUUGGAUUCAUUUCACAGAUAAAACAAAGUUAUCUUAAGAGGUCAAGAACAAGCUUGGAAAAGUAAAAAAUAGGUGUUUGGGAAGUAUUCAUCUGAAAACCAUCUGCAAGAGAAAAAGAAUGGAGAAUAAAAAGGAAGA
RNAcentral lists this long non-coding RNA (1528 nucleotides) under Fukomys damarensis (Damara mole-rat). RNAcentral's name for it is "lncRNA (ENSFDAG00000030661.1)". Lineage: Eukaryota; Metazoa; Chordata; Mammalia; Rodentia; Bathyergidae. The record is from RNAcentral.